RNAcentral lists this ribosomal RNA (255 nucleotides) under uncultured prokaryote. RNAcentral's name for it is "partial 16S ribosomal RNA". It matches the Rfam family "Bacterial small subunit ribosomal RNA", at positions 524 to 780 of the family's 1533-position model. The record is from RNAcentral.
UACGGAGGAUCCGAGCGUUAUCCGGAUUUACUGGGUGUAAAGGGAGCGCAGACGGAACUGCAAGUCUGAUGUGAAAGCCCGGGGCUCAACCGGGGACUGCAUCGGAUACUGUGGAUCUGGAGUGCCGGAGGGGCAAGCGGAAUUCCUGGUGUAGCGGUGAAAUGCGUAGAUAUCAGGAGGAACACAGGGGCGAAGGCGGCUUGCUGGACGGCAACUGACGUUGAGGCUCGAAAGCGUGGGGAGCAAACAGGAUUA